GGACUCCAGGCUGCAGGAAGCAGCAGGGCAGCUCUGGAAACCGCAGGCAGAGGAAGUGCGGAAACCAGACUUCACUUACCGCAGGAUUUUGCCUAGAGCUGCCCUACAUGAAACAGCCAGAAAUAAUUUCAAGACCACAGAAGUGCUGAGUUUUUAGUGGUGGCAGAUCCCUGCUGACAUCCCACCGGGCGUGUUUGAUGGCUUCCCUCUACUCCACACCAGAUGCCUCUGGAUGAUAUGAGCUCAGAAUGCACUUCUCCCACAAGCUCAAAAGAGGCCACAGCGUGAGCAGGUCCCAUCUGCCAAGGGAUUCCACCGCUUGCAUGGAGGCACCAGCAGCCAUUUCUCUAGUUUACGUUGGUGUGAAGCUUUCCAGCAGAAUAAAAGGGAUUGAACUUGGGUUCUUGCGCUUGCAAGGCAGGCAGCGAAACCACUGAGCUAAAUUCCCAGCGGCAUGAUAUUUUUAAAAAUAUGCCAUGAAGUAAACAGGCCUCCUAUGCCACACAUUCUCACUGUGAUGUACUGUGCCAGUACUGUGAUGUACUUGACCGAAAGCAACAGGGCCAAGCAACCAUGGACUGAAGCCUCUGAAACUAGUAUCGUCCUGCUGACAAUCCUUUCCUAGGACUGCCUGUUGCCACCAGGAAAAAGAUGCCACAGAAAGUUCCCACCGGACGAAACCAGCUGCCCAGAUUUUCUUCUCAGGAAGAUUUGGGAGAAAAUUUCCCAUGAAAAAAUUUGCUAUAUGAUUUUAAUAUUUUUGUUAUUUUCAUUUUAACAAUUAUUGCAGCCAAACUAGCCAGUGACAAAAUAACUGAAAAUGAUUGUGAAUGCAUAAAAUUUAUAUGAAAUGUGAAAGUCUUUGGCCCUACUUUUUGGAAGUUAAAUGUCCCAAUAAGAAGAACCAUAAUUUUAGCAUGGAACAAAAUGUAUGUUUUUGUGUUAAUUAUAUUGAAAACAUGCAUAUUUGAAUCGAUCCUCAGUUUAUCUUGUAUUUUCACACACAAAAGAAGUUAACUCAGAAUUUUUAAGAUUUCACCAAUGGAAUAAAUUUGAAUUCUCUGAACCUGAAAAGAUAGUUUCAAUAUAUAUGAAGAAUUAUAUUUACAUUAAUGUAUAUGUAACGUGGGAGCAAAAGACCACAAAACUUCCACCGUGAAAUAACAAAUGAGAAAACAUUUGUUGAAGUCAGUUUUCCAGUGUGGUUACAGUUAUGAGGUAGAAAUGGAAAGUGUCUUUCUGAAUCUCCUUGCUUUGUAUCCUUUCCCAUUAAAGGGCAAUGAAAACUACUAGGAUUUGUACUUAUUAAAGAUUCCAAAAAUUUAAAACAAAAUGCUUAGUUUCAAAAGCUGAAGUCUGCAGUCACCAGGUCCUUUCGGUGAAAACAGUUGUCUCAUCACUUUACUUCUGGGAGAGCUGCUUGGCACAUAGUGAACAGGAAUGAAAACAUGAGACAGCAGAAAAUCUAAGACAGUGCAGUCUGACAGGCAUCCUUUUGUAAUCAGUAAUGGAAUAGCUGGAACGCUACCUUUAUACGCAGAAGUUUCUG
Molecule: long non-coding RNA, 1549 nt
Organism: Heterocephalus glaber (naked mole-rat)
Lineage: Eukaryota; Metazoa; Chordata; Mammalia; Rodentia; Bathyergidae
Source: Ensembl